GGGUUGUGAGGUUAAGCGACUAAGCGUACACGGUGGAUGCCCUGGCAGUCAGAGGCGAUGAAGGACGUGCUAAUCUGCGAUAAGCGUCGGUAAGGUGAUAUGAACCGUUAUAACCGGCGAUUUCCGAAUGGGGAAACCCAGUGUGAUUCGUCACACUAUCAUUAACUGAAUCCAUAGGUUAAUGAGGCGAACCGGGGGAACUGAAACAUCUAAGUACCCCGAGGAAAAGAAAUCAACCGAGAUUCCCCCAGUAGCGGCGAGCGAACGGGGAGCAGCCCAGAGCCUGAAUCAGUGUGUGUGUUAGUGGAAGCGUCUGGAAAGGCGCGCGAUACAGGGUGACAGCCCCGUACACAAAAAUGCACAUGCUGUGAGCUCGAUGAGUAGGGCGGGACACGUGGUAUCCUGUCUGAAUAUGGGGGGACCAUCCUCCAAGGCUAAAUACUCCUGACUGACCGAUAGUGAACCAGUACCGUGAGGGAAAGGCGAAAAGAACCCCGGCGAGGGGAGUGAAAAAGAACCUGAAACCGUGUACGUACAAGCAGUGGGAGCACAGAGCAAUCUGUGUGACUGCGUACCUUUUGUAUAAUGGGUCAGCGACUUAUAUUCUGUAGCAAGGUUAACCGAAUAGGGGAGCCGAAGGGAAACCGAGUCUUAACUGGGCGUUAAGUUGCAGGGUAUAGACCCGAAACCCGGUGAUCUAGCCAUGGGCAGGUUGAAGGUUGGGUAACACUAACUGGAGGACCGAACCGACUAAUGUUGAAAAAUUAGCGGAUGACUUGUGGCUGGGGGUGAAAGGCCAAUCAAACCGGGAGAUAGCUGGUUCUCCCCGAAAGCUAUUUAGGUAGCGCCUCGUGAAUUCAUCUCCGGGGGUAGAGCACUGUUUCGGCAAGGGGGUCAUCCCGACUUACCAACCCGAUGCAAACUGCGAAUACCGGAGAAUGUUAUCACGGGAGACACACGGCGGGUGCUAACGUCCGUCGUGAAGAGGGAAACAACCCAGACCGCCAGCUAAGGUCCCAAAGUCAUGGUUAAGUGGGAAACGAUGUGGGAAGGCCCAGACAGCCAGGAUGUUGGCUUAGAAGCAGCCAUCAUUUAAAGAAAGCGUAAUAGCUCACUGGUCGAGUCGGCCUGCGCGGAAGAUGUAACGGGGCUAAACCAUGCACCGAAGCUGCGGCAGCGACACUAUGUGUUGUUGGGUAGGGGAGCGUUCUGUAAGCCUGUGAAGGUGUACUGUGAGGUAUGCUGGAGGUAUCAGAAGUGCGAAUGCUGACAUAAGUAACGAUAAAGCGGGUGAAAAGCCCGCUCGCCGGAAGACCAAGGGUUCCUGUCCAACGUUAAUCGGGGCAGGGUGAGUCGACCCCUAAGGCGAGGCCGAAAGGCGUAGUCGAUGGGAAACAGGUUAAUAUUCCUGUACUUGGUGUUACUGCGAAGGGGGGACGGAGAAGGCUAUGUUGGCCGGGCGACGGUUGUCCCGGUUUAAGCGUGUAGGCUGGUUUUCCAGGCAAAUCCGGAAAAUCAAGGCUGAGGCGUGAUGACGAGGCACUACGGUGCUGAAGCAACAAAUGCCCUGCUUCCAGGAAAAGCCUCUAAGCAUCAGGUAACAUCAAAUCGUACCCCAAACCGACACAGGUGGUCAGGUAGAGAAUACCAAGGCGCUUGAGAGAACUCGGGUGAAGGAACUAGGCAAAAUGGUGCCGUAACUUCGGGAGAAGGCACGCUGAUACGUAGGUGAAGUCCCUCGCGGAUGGAGCUGAAAUCAGUCGAAGAUACCAGCUGGCUGCAACUGUUUAUUAAAAACACAGCACUGUGCAAACACGAAAGUGGACGUAUACGGUGUGACGCCUGCCCGGUGCCGGAAGGUUAAUUGAUGGGGUCAGCGCAAGCGAAGCUCUUGAUCGAAGCCCCGGUAAACGGCGGCCGUAACUAUAACGGUCCUAAGGUAGCGAAAUUCCUUGUCGGGUAAGUUCCGACCUGCACGAAUGGCGUAAUGAUGGCCAGGCUGUCUCCACCCGAGACUCAGUGAAAUUGAACUCGCUGUGAAGAUGCAGUGUACCCGCGGCAAGACGGAAAGACCCCGUGAACCUUUACUAUAGCUUGACACUGAACAUUGAGCCUUGAUGUGUAGGAUAGGUGGGAGGCUUUGAAGUGUGGACGCCAGUCUGCAUGGAGCCGACCUUGAAAUACCACCCUUUAAUGUUUGAUGUUCUAACGUGGACCCGUGAUCCGGGUUGCGGACAGUGUCUGGUGGGUAGUUUGACUGGGGCGGUCUCCUCCUAAAGAGUAACGGAGGAGCACGAAGGUUGGCUAAUCCUGGUCGGACAUCAGGAGGUUAGUGCAAUGGCAUAAGCCAGCUUGACUGCGAGCGUGACGGCGCGAGCAGGUGCGAAAGCAGGUCAUAGUGAUCCGGUGGUUCUGAAUGGAAGGGCCAUCGCUCAACGGAUAAAAGGUACUCCGGGGAUAACAGGCUGAUACCGCCCAAGAGUUCAUAUCGACGGCGGUGUUUGGCACCUCGAUGUCGGCUCAUCACAUCCUGGGGCUGAAGUAGGUCCCAAGGGUAUGGCUGUUCGCCAUUUAAAGUGGUACGCGAGCUGGGUUUAGAACGUCGUGAGACAGUUCGGUCCCUAUCUGCCGUGGGCGCUGGAGAACUGAGGGGGGCUGCUCCUAGUACGAGAGGACCGGAGUGGACGCAUCACUGGUGUUCGGGUUGUCAUGCCAAUGGCACUGCCCGGUAGCUAAAUGCGGAAGAGAUAAGUGCUGAAAGCAUCUAAGCACGAAACUUGCCCCGAGAUGAGUUCUCCCUGACUCCUUGAGAGUCCUGAAGGAACGUUGAAGACGACGACGUUGAUAGGCCGGGUGUGUAAGCGCAGCGAUGCGUUGAGCUAACCGGUACUAAUGAACCGUGAGGCUUAACCUUACAACGCCGAAG
This 2926-nucleotide ribosomal RNA is filed under the name Escherichia coli. RNAcentral describes it as "partial 23S ribosomal RNA". It matches the Rfam family "Bacterial large subunit ribosomal RNA". Lineage: Bacteria; Pseudomonadati; Pseudomonadota; Gammaproteobacteria; Enterobacterales; Enterobacteriaceae. The record is from RNAcentral.